GGAGAGUGAGAGAAAAUAUCCGAUCUCAUCCCAUAACGGAGUCCCGAAGCCAACUCACCCAUACCCCAAAGAAAAGAGAGCCGCCAGCAGCCCGAAUCAGGCCAUGCCCUUGAACCUAGUUCAAGGGCGAUAGAAGAGAGAGCGAUGGGGAUCAGCGGCCCGGGAGCAUUAAACAGAGCAGCUAAGCCAAGAGGGGGUUUGUUCUGAAAGAAAAAGGGAUCCAGAUCAGUGAGAGACCAGGAACCAGGACUAGCGGGACGGGAAAGAGACCCAAGAAGCAUAAGAGGAAUAGGUCACAGCUCCGCCAUCCUGGCUUGCUUUUUGCUGGGCUCGAAGGCACAAUCCUGGCCACGUAGAGCGAGUCCCUC
Molecule: long non-coding RNA, 368 nt
Organism: Drosophila miranda
Lineage: Eukaryota; Metazoa; Arthropoda; Insecta; Diptera; Drosophilidae
Exons: 3
Source: RefSeq, a predicted model, not a curated record